Molecule: long non-coding RNA, 1864 nt
Filed under: Felis catus (domestic cat)
Lineage: Eukaryota; Metazoa; Chordata; Mammalia; Carnivora; Felidae
Description: lncRNA (ENSFCAG00000048860.1)
Source: RNAcentral
GGGGUCCCCCGUGUCCUCUCUCCUCACCGGCUGCUGGGCGCCGCCAUCUUCCUUCCCCGCCCCCGUGGGAGGAGAGCCGCUUCCUGUGCGUCACUUCCGGAGGGCGGGACGCGGCGAGACAGGGCCGUGGCUGCAGGUGUUUUCAGGGGUUGGGCGGGAGCGUGUAGAGUUGGGAGGUCGGAGGCCUGAGGUCCUUUCGAGAAACGCGAGGAACACGGAACGGCCAAGGCUUCCGGGGAGGAGAGGACGGCGGCCCCGCACCUUUGUUUCCAGAGGUUUCCAGGCGUUUUCUGGCCGGAUCCCAGGGCCUCGUGCGAUGGGCCGGGCUGGACACCGCGCGCUUCAAAGUCACGUUUGGGAUGCUUCUUGCUGACUGUAUCCUCAAGAGGAACUGGUUCUUGGAACGAUGCCUCCGCCUUCCAAUCUGACCAGUUGCAGCCUUACCGUGUUAGCUAUCAAGUGGGAAGACCGGUGAACUCAAGGUUGCUUGUCGGACCUGAGCCACACCAGGGAAUGCAAUCACCAGAGCAUCUCAGGAUGUAGAAGGUGUAGUAACCCAGAAACCCAGAGAUAAAGGUCCAGAGGGAAGGAAGCACGAAACUCUCGACGUUUUCAGUACGCCCGAGGGAAGCCGUGUGAAAGGCUCCCAACCGGAGAAUGAAGAUCACUGAGUUCCAGAAACAUUUAAGAAAGUUUGGGGAUUAUUGGACUCAGAAGCUGGUGGCAGACUGCCUUGUACACAUCAGUCCCCUCUGCUUCUUAGCCAUAGUCACACUGCGUGCUCGCCUUGGAAUGAUGUCCAGGAAGCUCACUAUGUUUCCAGGAUUCACUUUCACGUCUUUAAAGCUGAUCUCUUCCCCUUCGAAGUGUGACAGGCCCGGUCUGGAUGAACGGGGCCCGCCUCCGGGACCACAAGUGCCUGCCCAUGGAGCUUCUAAGGAGGAUCCUGUCACCCUAGUGGACCACACCUCUGACCUCCAGAGACACAGGUGAGUCUGUCGUCGGUCCGGUGCUUCAGAUGCCGGCCACAGACCACGGGCCUCUCUCACUUCUGACCGAUUGGCUGUCAAUUGGUUCCCAUGACCCCCUCCUCAGGUCUGAUCAUUUGGUAGAAUGGCUCCCAGAACUCCGGGAAAGACAGUGCCAGGGUUUAUUGGUUAAUCAUAAAGGAUACAAAUGAACGACCAAAUGGAGGAGACACCUGGGGAGAGGCACAGGGGCAGGUGCACCGAACUCCCUUGCCCUCUGUGAGCUCACCACCCCCCUCCCACUGCCCCGGCAGCUCCAACUCGGAAGUUCUCCAAACCUCGUAGUUCAGGGUUUUUUACAGAGAUUUCGUUACGCAGCCACGGUUAAUUAAAACAUUGGCUGUUGGUGAUGAGCUCACUUUCCAGCCCCGCUCCCUUCCCUGUCAUCAUGCGGUUGGCCCCUCUCCUACCAGCCCCCAUCCUGAAACUCUGGGGACACCAAGAGCCACCUUAUCAGCACAAACACAGAUAAGGUUGAAAAGGGCUCUUCAUGAAUACGUCGGAGGCUCCUUUCACUCCUAUCUCUCGGGAUUUUAAAAUACUCUAUGCCAGGAACCAGGGACAAAGACCAAAUAUAUAUUUCUUUCUUUCUUUCUUUCUUUUUUUUUUUUAAGUUUAUUUAUUUAUUUUAAGACGGGAGACAAGUGGGGAGGGGCAGAGAGAGAGGGAGAGAGAGAGAAUCCCAAGCAGGCUCCGUGCUGUCAGUACAGAGCCCGACGCAGGGCUUGAACUCACGAAUUGUGAGAUCAUGACCUGAGCCGAACUCAAGAGUCAGAUGCAUAACCCACUGAGCCAUCCAGGCAACUCCCCCCAAAUAAACAUUUCUUAUUAUAUCA